UGGGGAAUAUUGGACAAUGGACCAAAAGUCUGAUCCAGCAAUUCUGUGUGCACGAUGACGUUUUUCGGAAUGUAAAGUGCUUUCAGUUGGGAAGAAAAAAAUGACGGUACCAACAGAAGAAGUGACGGCUAAAUACGUGCCAGCAGCCGCGGUAAUACGUAUGUCACAAGCGUUAUCCGGAUUUAUUGGGCGUAAAGCGCGUCUAGGUGGUUAUGUAAGUCUGAUGUGAAAAUGCAGGGCUCAACUCUGUAUUGCGUUGGAAACUGCAUGACUAGAGUACUGGAGAGGUAAGCGGAACUACAAGUGUAGAGGUGAAAUUCGUAGAUAUUUGUAGGAAUGCCGAUGGGGAAGCCAGCUUACUGGACAGAUACUGACGCUAAAGCGCGAAAGCGUGGGUAGCAAACAGGAUUAGAUACCCUGGUAGUCCACGCCGUAAACGAUGAUUACUAGGUGUUGGGGGUCGAACCUCAGCGCCCAAGCUAACGCGGUAAGUAAUCCGCCUGGGGAGUACGUACGCAAGUAUG
This 524-nucleotide ribosomal RNA is filed under the name uncultured bacterium. Its description in RNAcentral is "bacterial SSU rRNA". It matches the Rfam family "Bacterial small subunit ribosomal RNA", at positions 355 to 896 of the family's 1533-position model. The record is from RNAcentral.